RNAcentral lists this transfer RNA (77 nucleotides) under Clostridioides difficile. RNAcentral describes it as "tRNA-Asp". It matches the Rfam family "tRNA". From Rfam's summary of the family: Transfer RNA (tRNA) molecules are approximately 80 nucleotides in length. Their secondary structure includes four short double-helical elements and three loops (D, anti-codon, and T loops). Further hydrogen bonds mediate the characteristic L-shaped molecular structure. tRNAs have two regions of fundamental functional importance: the anti-codon, which is responsible for specific mRNA codon recognition, and the 3' end, to which the tRNAs corresponding amino acid is attached (by aminoacyl-tRNA synthetases). tRNAs cope with the degeneracy of the genetic code in two manners: having more than one tRNA (with a specific anti-codon) for a particular amino acid; and 'wobble' base-pairing, i.e. permitting non-standard base-pairing at the 3rd anti-codon position. Lineage: Bacteria; Bacillati; Bacillota; Clostridia; Peptostreptococcales; Peptostreptococcaceae. The record is from RNAcentral.
GGCCCGGUAGUUCCGAUGGUUAGAAUGCCAGCCUGUCACGCUGGAGGUCGAGGGUUCGAACCCCUUCCAGGUCGCCA